CAGCAGCCACGGUAAUACGUAGGUGGCAAGCGUUGUCCGGAAUUAUUGGGCGUAAAGGGCUCGCAGGCGGUUUCUUAAGUCUGAUGUGAAAGCCCCCGGCUCAACCGGGGAGGGUCAUUGGAAACUGGGAAACUUGAGUGCAGAAGAGGAGAGUGGAAUUCCACGUGUAGCGGUGAAAUGCGCAGAGAUGUGGAGGAACACCAGUGGCGAAGGCGACUCUCUGGUCUGUAACUGACGCUGAGGAGCGAAAGCGUGGGGAGCGAACAGGAUUAGAUACCCCAGUAGUCCCUGUCUCUUAUAA
RNAcentral lists this ribosomal RNA (301 nucleotides) under uncultured bacterium. Its description in RNAcentral is "partial 16S ribosomal RNA". It matches the Rfam family "Bacterial small subunit ribosomal RNA", at positions 509 to 809 of the family's 1533-position model. The record is from RNAcentral.